UGGCGGAGCCCUGCUGAGGGCGUGCGGGGCCCGGCGGGGAUUAUUCUCCAAGAGGAUUUAGACCUUGCUUCAAAAGAUGCCUGAUGCCUGUGAACCAGUGCUUGAAGAUAUUGAUGAUACUGUGUCAGCAGAAGAUUUGAAGCCACGUGAUCGGCAGUUUGUAAGAAAGAACGUUUUUCCAAAAGUGCGACAACGCAAUUCACAAAAAAAUACUCGGGCAGACGAUGAUCCCCCAAGUGACAGUGGAAUCUGGCUGAAAAUCUAUUCCGGUUGUUUUCAGCCAAAAAGGACAAUUUGGAAAAUGAAGUCUGAACCAACAGAAACUGUUUCCUUGGGCUGCGCUGCUCUACGUGAUAGAAAGCCUGGGUACUGGAAGAAAGAAUACCUCUUCAAACAAAUAGCUGCUGUCAAAAUGAGAGUAAGGCGACUUGUUAAACCUGUAGAUCCUUCUACAGGUCUUCCAUGUAAAAACAAAGAAGCUAUGAAAGCCUCUGGCUUGAGGUGGAGAAUUGUUCUAAAGGACAAAAAUGGAAAGGAACACGUAAUGGAGAAGGCAAACCUGUCGAUUAAGGACACAUCUGUUACUAUACUUUGGUAUAGUACAAAUUGGCCAUGCUUAGACAUCCUGUCAAGCCUGAAACUGUUUGGAGUUAUGCCAUUGCUUCCUGAGCAAAGCAGAGCUCCCAGCAAGAAUGGACCUCGUCGACGUUCCUUAAUUGGUGAAUACCAUCUUGCUAACCUGACUGAAAGUAGUGUAGCCGUUGGUGCUGAUGAGCUUGGCCAGCUCUUCAGUCUGAAUCCAGGACUCGUCGUAGGACUUUGGGAGGAUCUUCUGACAAGCUUGAAACUAAGGUGAGGCGACUAGAGCAGACUGGUCACCAAGUCGUCUUCUCUGCGAUACAUGGCAGGGAUGCGCUCUUAGAUGUCUUUGAAGCUUGAUGGGAAGAUGCUGCAUGAGAUGAAAAGCCUUGUCCUUGAGGAGCCAAAGUGUUGGCUGGAUGUUAUCUCUGUUUGGAGAAAGCUUCAUGGGCGUGAGGGGCAAAAAGACAAUGUCUCUCAAGAAAACCCAUCGCUUCUCAAGAGCAAAUCAGAAGAAGAGACAAAUAUUGCAAGCGACAGGCAGAAACCCAAACAAGUGAGAGAGACCGUGUCUGAGCAACGUCAGGCGGAAGCUGGAGA
Gavia stellata (red-throated loon) is the source of this 1179-nucleotide RNA transcript. It is a transcript of the gene named F-box only protein 15-like, with no coding region annotated. NCBI's taxonomy places the organism in Eukaryota, Metazoa, Chordata, Aves, Gaviiformes, Gaviidae. The record is from RefSeq and is a predicted model, not a curated record. The transcript is spliced from 8 exons.